Long non-coding RNA from Oxyura jamaicensis (ruddy duck), 655 nucleotides. RefSeq lists it as uncharacterized. The transcript has 2 exons. The record is from RefSeq and is a predicted model, not a curated record. NCBI's taxonomy places the organism in Eukaryota, Metazoa, Chordata, Aves, Anseriformes, Anatidae.
GUUGCAUCUUCCUCUUACUUUCACUAAUAUGAGAGUAGAAUAACUUACAGAAAUACUUUGGUGGCCAUGAACUUGUAUGCCAUGGAAAUUGCAGGUAAUAUGGAAAAUUAUUCUGCUGAAAACCUGUCAAUUGGAAAUGUGCACGGACAAGGUAUUGCACAAGGGUGUUGGUAUGACUGGGACAUCUGAACAGCAUAGCUGGAGAUGUGGUAAGUGCUUGUGGGUAGCGCGUUCUAGCGGAGACAGGGAAAUCCAGUGGAGUUGCUGCUGCUGCUGGGGCCACACAUGGAGUACCGCACACCAGUCUGGUUACUUGGGCUCCGCAAGUGGGAAGCACCAGCAGGGAUUAUCAGGGGAAAGGCAAAUGUGGAAGUGAAACUGGUGGUGUUUGUCUUCACUGUAGCGAAAUGAUCAGAGAGGAUGCUUGUGUUGUUUUUGUCUGUGUAAGUACUUGAAGGGCGGAGUGAGCAAGCAUUAACUUAAUUAUGUUUAUUCCCCUUGAGUACGGUGCUUGUGCAAAAAAAAAACAAGAACGCUUAAAAAAUACAAUUCUUUAAAUCUUAAAUCUCCAAGUCUUAUAUGUAAGAGAAGGUAAAGCUGAGAGUCUUCAAUGAUUUUGAAAUGCCACCAACAAAACUCUCUCUCAAAAAAAAAA